AAAUAAUAGGUGCCAUCUUCUCCUUUAUGUCAUCCUUCAUUAUCAUCAACACGACCUCCUGUAUUGUUUCAUCAAUUUUCAGCAAUGUAUCAUUCAGAAGACACUUCUAAAGAGGAUUUACAAGUGCUAAAAAUGUGAGUAUUUUGCUUUGGAACUUAAACUACAAGUAAAAGUAUUAUGCAUCAAAUGUUUUACUUUGUGUUUUUUCAUUGUUUUUUUUGUUUAAAAAAAGUAAAAGUAUUAUGUACUUUGUUAUGUUGUUAAAAUGUGUAAACUAAGUAUAUUUGUGCUCAACUGAGAUUAAUCCCUCAACAUUUGAUAUGCGCGCAACUUUUCUUUGGACCAGGGAUGGCAAAAAAAAAAAAAAAAAAGCAGUGCACACGGGUACCGAUCAAUAAAAUUCGUCACGGGCACGGGGAUGGUAGCUAAACGGAUAUCCACGUGUAUAUUAAAUAAGUAUUUGACUACCCAUUGUUUUAUAGAUACAGACACAGAUUUGCUGAUACCCGUUUCCGCGGAUACCCAUACCCGAUAAUAGAGUUCAAAACAGAAAUAGGCAGUUUAUAACUAAUUUAUUCAGAAUUCAUCGCAAUAUGAAUUUGUUAAGUGUAAAAUUUAACAUUAAAUGCAUAACUAAAUCUUUAAAUCAAACAUAACCGAAUACAAACAUUUCCUAAAAAAUAAGAGAGAACAAUUUGGGUUCUAUAUACAAACAAGAGUGGAAAAGGUACC
This 732-nucleotide long non-coding RNA is filed under the name Medicago truncatula (barrel medic). RNAcentral's name for it is "long non-coding RNA (MTRU_LNC000956)". The record is from RNAcentral. Lineage: Eukaryota; Viridiplantae; Streptophyta; Magnoliopsida; Fabales; Fabaceae.